Molecule: ribosomal RNA, 302 nt
Filed under: uncultured bacterium
Lineage: Bacteria
Description: partial 16S ribosomal RNA
Rfam family: Bacterial small subunit ribosomal RNA
Source: RNAcentral
GCAGCCGCCGCGGGAAUACGGAGGGUGCAAGCGUUAAUCGGAAUUACUGGGCGUAAAGCGCACGCAGGCGGUCUGUCAAGUCAGAUGUGAAAUCCCCGGGCUUAACCUGGGAACUGCAUUUGAAACUGGCAGGCUAGAGUCUUGUAGAGGGGGGUAGAAUUCCAGGUGUAGCGGUGAAAUGCGUAGAGAUCUGGAGGAAUACCGGUGGCGAAGGCGGCCCCCUGGACAAAGACUGACGCUCAGGUGCGAAAGCGUGGGGAGCAAACAGGAUUAGAGACCCCAGUAGUCCCUGUCUCUUAUAC